AUCCAGUUGACGAGCCCCAAAUAGGACGUAACGUGCGUCCUGGAU
RNAcentral lists this non-coding RNA (45 nucleotides) under Schistosoma mattheei. Lineage: Eukaryota; Metazoa; Platyhelminthes; Trematoda; Strigeidida; Schistosomatidae. The record is from RNAcentral.